GUAAAACCAAAGACAGGCAGCCCGGCGCCAGGCCUGAAACCAGGCCUGGGCCUGCCUGGCCUAAACCCAGUAGUUAAAAAUCAACUCAUAACUUAGAAACUGAUGUUAUUCAUAGAUUCCAGACAUUGUAUAGAAGAACAUUGUGAAACUCCCUGUCCUGUUCUGUUUCUCUCUGACCACCGGUACAUGCAGCCCCUGUCAUGUACCGCCUGCUUGCUCAAAUCAAUCACGACCCUUUCAUGUGAAAUCUUUAGUGUUAUGAGCCCUUAAAAGGGACAGAAAUUGUGCAUUCGGGGAGCUUGGAUUUUAAGGCAGUACCUUGCCAAUGCUCCCAGCUGAAUAAAGCCCUUCCUUCUACAACUAGGUGUCUGAGAGGUUUUGUCUGCGACUCGUCCUGCUACAUUUCUUGGUUCCCUGACCAGGAAGCGAGGUGACUGACGGACGGCCGAGGCAGCCCCUUAGGUGGCUUAAGCCUGCCCUGUGGAGCAUCCCUGAGGGGGACUCUGGCCAGCCUGAGUGAUGUGGUCCGAAGAGCGCUUGGGUAGGAAAUUGCCCCUGUGGAAUGCCUCGUCAGAGCAGCGCAUAGCAGGCCCCCACGGAGGAUUAACACAGUGGCUGAACACUGGGAAGGAACUGGCCCUUGGAGUCCAGACAUCUGAAACUUGAUGCAGAAAGCAAUAUUUAACUGAUCAGCUGCCACUCACAUCAUGAAUCAGAAGCAGCCUUAAAAGAAAGGAUCCCUUCUUGCUAUUUUGAAGGGAAAUAACUGAGUCCUUUGGAGCUGAAAAUGAAAAACUGAGUAGCUGGUGGAAGAAGCGAGAUGGGUUUGGAACUCACAGGCUAUGUUUCUGGAUGCAUCACAUUUGCAAGAGGGAAGUUUUGGUGUCCCUGUGGGUAUAUUAGCACUCCUUUACUCCAUUUCUCUGUAGCUACUCAAGCAAGUGACAAAAGGCUGCAGAGUCCAAGAAAGGUGACAGAUAUGAAGAAAUGCAGUGGUUGCAAAGGACAAAGACAAUGGCAACACAAAUAAAAGAAAUUAUGAGAAGGAAAUAAAUAUUAAAAAAAAAACCCAAACGUUUGUUGAUGUAAACUGAAAAUAAAUUUGGAAUGAGCUGUGUGCACUUGGAAAUGAGAAGAGCUCUGUCCUGCACCAUGAAGGGCUUUGUGUGCAUCCAUGGGUUGCUUCUGCAUGCAGAAUGAGACUGGAACAAAAAAGAACCAUUUAAAACACAGGAUCCAGGAGUGAUUCAGGAUUUUAAAUUGAAGAUUGAUCAUACAAGCUGGAAGACGUCCCAUGACACUUUAUUUGAAAUUGGAACAUCAGAAUUUGGUUGGGUCUAUCUUUUACUAACUCUGUACCAUGAAAAAAUUAUUUAAUAUUUCUGAACUGUGUAAAGAAUAAAAUUAGAUUAUGAAUUCAAUCUGUUGCUGCAUAAUCAAUUACCUCCAAUCUUAGCAGCUUCAAACAACAAACAUAAAUAAACUUAGUUUCUGCAGCUCAGGAAUUCAGGAGUUUAGCUAGAUGGUUCUGGCUUGGAGUCUUCCAUGAGGUUGCCAUCUAGAGGUCAGCCAAGGCUGCAGUCAUUUGAAGGUUUGACUGGGGCUUGAGAAUUCACUCUCAUGGCUAGUCACAUGUUCACUUCUGUGUUGGCUGUUGGCAGGAAUUUUCAGAACCUUGCCAUGUGGGUCUCUCCAUAUGGCUGCUUAAGCAUCCUCAUGACACGUCAGCUGGUCUCCCCAGUGGGAGUGAUCGAAGAGACAGAAGCAAGAAUGUCUUCAAUGACCUACCCUUGUAAGUCACAUACCUCACUUUCACCUAAUCCUCAAAAGGAGAGAGUUAGACUCCACCUUUUGGAGGCAAGAAUGUCAAAGAAUUUGUGGACAUAUUUCAAAACCAUCACUGGAUCAUAUAUGUGAAAAUAAACACUUACAAAAAAUAAAGUGCUAUAAAUGGGAUACAUUCAGAUAAGGAACCCUUCUUUCAAUGCCAUCCCAGAAUUCCCUCAGCUUAAUUCUCCCAGAAGCUUCAAGACCUUCUAAAAUUGUUUGGGCUUGGUCUUUAUAGUCUGGAGGCACCAAAAGCCUGAGAUUUGUAUAGAUUAAGGAAGAAUCAGAAUCUAAGAGACAUUAAAUGACUAGCCAAAGAUCACACUGCUAGUUGGUGGAAGUCCGAGGAGUUUGUCCUAAGUGUGCCUAACUUCAAAUCCCCUCAUCUUAAUCAUUGUGUCACAUCAUGUCAUAAAAAUGGAUGAAAGAAGAAAGAAGACACAAACACCCAGUAUUAUUUUAGGACAAUUUCAUGGCAUUAAGUGUGGAUUUUCGUUUUAGCUAACAUUUUCAUGAAGGAAAAUCUUUGAGGAUGUUCUCUCCAUUAAAAAAAGAAGGAAAAAAACUCAAGAUAAUUAUAGAUUUACAUGCAGUUGUAAAAGUUAGUAAUGUAAAGAGAAGGCUUGUACACUUUGCCUAAUUUCCCCAGUGGUAACUUUUUUAGAGCUAUAGUAUGAUAUCACAACCAGGAUAUUGACAUCAGUCAAUCCACUGAUCUUAUUCAGUUUUCCUAAGUUUACUCUUUAAUGUGUGUGUGAAGUUCUACACAAUUUUAUUACUCGUAUAAGUUCGUGUAUCAUCACCCUGGUUAAAAUACUGAGGGGUUCCAGUGCCACAAGGAUCCCUCCUAUUCUUUUUGAGCCACACCCAUUCCCCUUCUUCCCCAAUUUCUCCACCUCCCUUUCUAACUAUCUGCCACUAGUCUGUCCUCCAUUUCUAAAAUUUUGUCAUUUCAAAAAUUUAAUAUAAGUGGAAUUAUGUAGUAUACAACAAUUUGGAGUUUUGUUUUUGCUCAACAUGAUUUCCUAAAGAUUCAUUCAAGUAGUUCUGUAUAUCGAUAGUGUAUUUCUUUUUAUUGCUGAGUAGUAUUACAAUUUUGUUUAACCAUUCAACUCUUUUUUGUUAGUUUCUUUUUGUUUUUGAGAUGGAGUCUGUUGCCCAGGCUGGAAUGCAGCAGCGCGAUCUCUGCUCACAGCAACCUCUGCCUCCUGUGUUCAAGCUAUUCUCCAGCCUCAGCCUCCUGAGUAGCUGAGAUUACAGGCGUGAGCCACAGCGCCCACCCUAGCCAUUCAACUCUGAAGCACAUCUGGGUUGAUACCAGUUUUGGGCUGUUACAAUAAAACUUCUAUGAACAUUCACGCACAAAUUUUUGUGGGAACAUACGUUUUCAUUUCUCUAGGAUAGAUGUACAGGAAUAAAAUUCUGGGUCAUAUGGUAGUUGCAUGUUUAAAUAUUUAAGAAACUGCUAAACUGCUUUCCAGAGUGUCUGUACCAUUUCACAGUCCUAAAAGCGAUGUAUGAAUGAUCCAGUUUCACCAUUUCCUCAUCAGCAUUUGGUGUUGUAAUUCUCAUUUUAAUAAUGCUUAUAGAUGUGUGGUGAUAUCUCAUUAUGGUGUUCAUUUGUAUUUCUCUAAUGACCAAUAAAUAUUUAACAUAUUUCCAUGUGCCUGCUUUUUUGCCAUUUUAUAUCCUCUUUGGUCUAUAAUGCCUUUUGUCCAUUUUCUAAUUAAAUAUUUAUGUAUUGUUGAGUUUUCAGAGUUCUUUAUAUAUUCUAGAUAUUAUUCCUUUGUCAGCUAUGUGGUUUUAAAAUAUUUAUUUCUAUCUUGUAGCUUGUAAUUUCAUUUUCCUCACGUGGACUUUCACAAAGCAAGUGUUUUUAUUUUUGAUAAAAUCAGAUUUGUCAAGUUUUCCUUCUGUGGAUCAUGAUUUUGUUGUCAAGUCCAAUAACUGUCUGCCUAGCUCCAGAUCCCAAAGUUUGCUCCUGUG
RNAcentral lists this long non-coding RNA (3813 nucleotides) under Homo sapiens (human). Its description in RNAcentral is "HSALNT0056300". The record is from RNAcentral. Lineage: Eukaryota; Metazoa; Chordata; Mammalia; Primates; Hominidae.